CCCUGUAAGAUGGACUACGUGGCUUGCAACACAGGUGACUGCACUCCUCAGGCCUGGCCACUGCGGGCUCAGCCAACCACCUGCUGGACGAGUGGUUCUAGAACUGCUAUGGCCACUGCCACCAGGCCUUCGCAGAUCACCAGCAGUCAGACUGCCAGCAGUCAGAGUGGUAGUGGCCCGAGAGCCAGCAACUGGCAGCCCAGACCCAGGCACAGGUGUGGUAUGGGACUCCACGUCAGGGUGAGUGAGCACCUGCGGGAUUCCACGGCUGGAAGUCGGAGCUGCAGCGUGAGGUGGAGGUGCUGGCAAAGAGUCAGACCUGCUGCUGGUCCAGAAGCAGCGGCUGGAGCACCUCCUGGACACCACUGCCCAGCCCUUCUCUAUUGCCACAAACAACCUGCAGUGCUGCACGUGCCGCCAGCACCCUGACCUUGUGAGCUACCACAUGGAGAUGGAGUUGCUGAGGGUGCCACAGCCU
This 478-nucleotide long non-coding RNA is filed under the name Homo sapiens (human). RNAcentral describes it as "non-protein coding lnc-CCDC115-1:1". The record is from RNAcentral. Lineage: Eukaryota; Metazoa; Chordata; Mammalia; Primates; Hominidae.